Non-coding RNA from Salmo salar (Atlantic salmon), 1757 nucleotides. The record is from RefSeq and is a predicted model, not a curated record. NCBI's taxonomy places the organism in Eukaryota, Metazoa, Chordata, Actinopteri, Salmoniformes, Salmonidae.
UACAAGGCUGUGUGUCAGGGGGGCUCCACGGGCGUCUCCACAGUGUGGAGGAGAGUCUGCUCUCCAACCAGGAGAAGAUCAAGGUCCUCCUCAAUGUUAUCCAAGACCUGGAGAAGAGCAAGGCACUCAGCGAAGGGCGCUGCUCAUACAGAACUGGACAGGACAUCAACAACUGUCCCACCUGUCAGAAGACUGCCUGCAUUAUCUACAGACACACCGACACACACAGAGAGAGACCUCAGCCUUAAACUUUCAAGCCAAACUUGCCACAGAAACACUCAACCUCCACUACAAUAUGACCUGAAGCACUUGAGAGAGAAGAAUGAAAAGAGAGAGAGAGAAGAGAGAGAGAGAGAGAAAAGAGAGAGAGAGAGAAAAGAGAGAGGGAGAAAAAAGAGAGGGAGAAAAGAGAGAGGGAGAAAAGAGAGAGAGAAAGGAGAGAGAUGAUGAGUCAAGGGGAGGGAUUGCUUUGAAAACAUCUCAGGGGAACGAAGUAUUUCCCUCAGCCCUCUGUUUUAGUUUCAACACUUUAAGAUGACUCUCCUUCUCUCAUCUCUCUCUCUUUCUCUCUUCUCCUACUCCUCUCAUCUCUCUCUCUUUCUCUCUUCGCCUACUCCUCUCAUCUCUCCAGCCUGUGAUGUAGUGGUGCAUGAAGUGCAAGAAUGCUGUGAACGUGAAUCGAUUUCAGAGAGUGUGUGUGUCUGUCUGAUUAAGUGUGCACUUGCAUCGGCACAUGGUACUUACGAGUGUGGAGCAUGACUUUCGGCAGCAGGAGGGGAGGUUCCAGCCAGUGAUGGAGACUCUAGACAGGGAAUAUGAUUUUCCCCUCCCUGUCCCCAAAACUGCCCCCUCCCACCCGAACACCAAGACCCUCGUCAAGAAGCUACGCAAGAAGUGUUUCUGGUGGCUGUAGACACACACAGACACACUCGCCCACACACAGCCAUCGUCGGCGCCAUGAAGACAUUCCAGACUGCUGUUACCAUGGGGAUUGGACAGGUGUGUGUCUAUGGACCAUGGGGACUGCUCCUGUUUCAUUGUUGUUGCUAUGGGAACUGUACACCUGUUAUGGUAUCUAUGGAGAUCUAUGGUUCAUCUCUGACAUGGUUGGAGAACGAACAGUACAUCAGCCCACAACUAUGGACUGAUUGAUAAGGUUACUUGAACCUAAAGUCUUGGGACAGUUACUGAGCUAUGGAUUUAGGAGAGACACUAAACUUUGACAAGAGUUCAGUCUAGAAGGCUAUGACAGCGGUGACCUUUCCUUAGUUCUAACAUCUGUUGGAUUUGAAUUCAUAGUUGAUGGACAUUGUCACAGUGGAAAGAGGAACUCUCCUACCUAAACAGAGACAAUUCCAUCAUCAAGCCCUUUAGAGAGUGACAACCAUUCAACCAAUCAACAGUCUCCCAUACUUGACUGACAAAGCGAGGAUCCAUUCAGGAUUCUCCCUCCUAGUGUACCAAACACAAAGACAAUAAUAACCACUCCACUCUACGAGCUUCCACUCUUCCACAAUGCUAUUGGUUAUAACCCAAGCUCAACCAAUUAGAAUCAGCCUUUGCUUCUAAGACCACGCCCUAUUUACUGUUUAACCAAUCAUCAGCACCAGACCCUAACCUCGCACAUCAGUGCUUUUUUAUAAACCAUCCCAGUGUAUGAUCUCCCACAAUGCUCUUCUUCUUCCUCUCACUGUGUUUCUGCAGCUGUUUGUAACAGUUAUAUUGGGAUCCAAUAAAAGUGUGUAUUUUAAACAGAA